RNAcentral lists this ribosomal RNA (801 nucleotides) under Selaginella wallichii. RNAcentral's name for it is "partial 26S ribosomal RNA". It matches the Rfam family "Eukaryotic large subunit ribosomal RNA", at positions 357 to 1154 of the family's 3401-position model. Lineage: Eukaryota; Viridiplantae; Streptophyta; Lycopodiopsida; Selaginellales; Selaginellaceae. The record is from RNAcentral.
GGGAAAGAUGAAAAGGACUUUGAAAAGAGAGUCAAAAAGUGCUUGAAAUUGUUGGGAGGAAAGCGAAUGGAUGCCUCAGUUGCCAGCUGGCUGUGCGUGGAACGGCCCCUUGUGGCUGGUCUGCCAAUCAGCUCAGCUGGCCCUCCAGCGUGGGGGUGGGCAGUGCUACCAAGUGUGGGGGGCUUCUGUCCCCUGCCUAUGGUGCUGCUUUCCCUUGUGAGUGGGGGCGCGCCAGUCUCUGGCAGGGCCUUACGGCCCUUGCGUCCUUCCGAUGCUGGUGUCCUGGGCGUUCCAUCCGACCCGUCUUGAAACACGGACCAAGGAGUCUAACAUGUAUGCGAGCCUGCGGGUUAAACACCUGGCGAGGCGAAAGGAAACUGAUCUGUGGGAUCCCUCCCGGGAGCACCAUUGACCGACCCUGAUCUUUUGUGAAAGGUUCGAGUGAUAGCAUACCUGUUAGGACCCGAAAGAUGGUGAACUAUGCCUGAGCAGGGCGAAGCCAGAGGAAACUCUGGUGGAGGCUCGUAGCGAUACUGACGUGCAAAUCGUUCGUAGGACUUGGGUAUAGGGGCGAAAGACUAAUCGAACCAUCUAGUAGCUGGUUCCGGGCCAAGUUUCCCUCAGGAUAGCUGGAGCUUUUUCGGAGUUUUAUCGGGUAAAGCGAAUGAUUAGAGGCCUCGGGGGUGAAACACCCUCGACCUAUUCUCAAACUUUAAAUAGGUAAGGUGUUGGGGUUGCUCUGGUGAACCCCAACUUUGAAUCCGAGCUCCAAGUGGGCCAUUUUUGGUAAGCAGAACUGGA